AUUGAACGCUAGCGGGAUGCCUUACACAUGCAAGUCGAACGGCAGCGCGGACUUCGGUCUGGCGGCGAGUGGCGAACGGGUGAGUAAUGUAUCGGAACGUGCCCAGUAGGCGGGGGACAACCACUCGAAAGAGUGGCUAAUACCGCAUACGCCCGUACGGGGAAAGGGGGGGAUCGAAAGACCUCUCACUAUUGGAGCGGCCGAUAUCGGAUUAGCUAGUUGGUGGGGUAAAGGCCUACCAAGGCGACGAUCCGUAGCUGGUUUGAGAGGACGACCAGCCACACUGGGACUGAGACACGGCCCAGACUCCUACGGGAGGCAGCAGUGGGGAAUUUUGGACAAUGGGGGAAACCCUGAUCCAGCCAUUCCGCGUGUGCGAUGAAGGCCUUCGGGUUGUAAAGCACUUUUGGCAGGAAAGAAAUCGUGUGGGUUAAUACCCUGCGCGGAUGACGGUACCUGCAGAAUAAGCACCGGCUAACUACGUG
This 485-nucleotide ribosomal RNA is filed under the name uncultured bacterium. RNAcentral describes it as "bacterial SSU rRNA". It matches the Rfam family "Bacterial small subunit ribosomal RNA", at positions 30 to 507 of the family's 1533-position model. The record is from RNAcentral.